RNAcentral lists this ribosomal RNA (253 nucleotides) under uncultured bacterium. RNAcentral's name for it is "partial 16S ribosomal RNA". It matches the Rfam family "Bacterial small subunit ribosomal RNA", at positions 524 to 776 of the family's 1533-position model. The record is from RNAcentral.
UACAGAGGUCUCAAGCGUUGUUCGGAUUCAUUGGGCGUAAAGGGUGUGUAGGUGGCGCCGUAAGUCGGGUGUGAAAUUUCGGAGCUUAACUCCGAAACUGCAUUCGAUACUGCGGUGCUUGAGUACUGGAGAGGAGACUGGAAUUUACGGUGUAGCAGUGAAAUGCGUAGAGAUCGUAAGGAAGACCAGUGGCGAAGGCGAGUCUCUGGACAGUUACUGACACUGAGGCACGAAGGCCAGGGGAGCAAACGGG